UGAUGGAGGACCUACCUUGAAACCAUUAAU
Molecule: non-coding RNA, 30 nt
Filed under: Rattus norvegicus (Norway rat)
Lineage: Eukaryota; Metazoa; Chordata; Mammalia; Rodentia; Muridae
Source: RNAcentral